AGUGAACGCUGGCGGUAGGCCUAACACAUGCAAGUCGAACGGCAGCACAGUAAGAGCUCGCUCUUACGGGUGGCGAGUGGCGGACGGGUGAGGAAUACAUCGGAAUCUACUUUUUCGUGGGUGAUAACGUGGGGAAACUUACGCUAAUACCGCAUACGACCUACGGGUGAAAGCAGGGGAUCUUAGGACCUUGCGCGAUUGUAUGAGCCGGUUGCGGGUUAGUUAGUUGGCGGGGUAAAGGCCCACCAAGGCGACGAUCCGUAGCUGGUCUGAGAGGAUGAUCAGCCACACGGGAGCUGAGACGCGGCCCAGGCUCUGACGGGAGGCAGAGGUGGGUAAUAUAGGAAAAAGGGGGGAAGCCUGAUCCAGCCAUGCCAGGUUGGUGAAGAAGGCCUGCGGGUUGUAAGGCCGUUUUGGUGUGAAAGAAAAGCAUUAGCUUAAAACCCCGCAGUUCGACCGUUACCGAAGGAAUAGGCACCGGCUAACAUGGU
This 491-nucleotide ribosomal RNA is filed under the name uncultured bacterium. RNAcentral describes it as "partial 16S ribosomal RNA". It matches the Rfam family "Bacterial small subunit ribosomal RNA", at positions 29 to 506 of the family's 1533-position model. The record is from RNAcentral.